UACGAAGGGGGCUAGCGUUGUUCGGAUUUACUGGGCGCAAAGGGCGCGCAGGCGGCUCAUUUUGUCAGGCGUGAAAGCCCCGGGCUUAACCUGGGAACUGCGUUUGAUACGGAUGGGCUAGAGUUCGGGAGAGGAGAGUGGAAUUCCCAGUGUAGAGGUGAAAUUCGUAGAUAUUGGGAAGAACACCGGUGGCGAAGGCGGCUCUCUGGACCGAGACUGACGCUGAGGCGCGAAAGCGUGGGGAGCAAACAGG
RNAcentral lists this ribosomal RNA (253 nucleotides) under uncultured bacterium. RNAcentral describes it as "partial 16S ribosomal RNA". It matches the Rfam family "Bacterial small subunit ribosomal RNA", at positions 524 to 776 of the family's 1533-position model. The record is from RNAcentral.